Molecule: unclassified non-coding RNA, 589 nt
Filed under: Hevea brasiliensis (rubber tree)
Lineage: Eukaryota; Viridiplantae; Streptophyta; Magnoliopsida; Malpighiales; Euphorbiaceae
Source: RNAcentral
UUGGUCUCUUUGAACAUGUCAAAUUCACGUAUAACCAGUGCAGGGUUGAAGCAUUUGAAGCCACUGAAAAAUUUAAAAUCACUGACCUUGGAGUCAUGCAAAGUGACAGCUAAUGACAUUAAGAAGCUUCAGUCAACUGACCUCCCUCAACUGGUGAGCUUCCGGCCUGAGUAAUUGAGGAGGUAAUGUGGGACAUUCUGUAAAUAGCUAGUGUGGCAUGAAGGAGCUCUGAUGUUUUAAAUAAAAAUAUUAGGGGGCAAAAGGCAAAUGAACCAAUAAAGAAGUGUACAUAUGAUAUGGGUAGACCUAAAUGUUGGUCUUGGGAUGCUUGAAAAAGGAACUUUCACCUUAUUUGAAGCUUUCUUUCAUAUCGUUUAGUAUGAAAGAAACUGUAGAUAAGCUUCCUUGGCAAGUCUUUUGAGCAAUGGCAAUUUAGGAUUAAAAAAAAAAAAAAAAAAAGGGCCCUUUUUUAUUUUUUGGGUGAAGGUUUUUUUUUUUUUUUUUUUUAAACCGUGUUGCUAUGUAAAUAACUAUAUAUUCAGCUUAUCUGAACAGCCUCUUAAACCAAUUCCAUUUAAGUUUUUUUUUU